This 702-nucleotide long non-coding RNA is filed under the name Malus domestica (apple). Its description in RNAcentral is "long non-coding RNA (MDOM_LNC021060)". Lineage: Eukaryota; Viridiplantae; Streptophyta; Magnoliopsida; Rosales; Rosaceae. The record is from RNAcentral.
GUAGAGAUCCAUCCAUCAUGGAUCUUAGCAAGCUAGUGGGAGCUAUAAACGUCUUAUGAGAGAAAGAUCAAAUCGUUUGAUUUCUCAUAAAGAUGUAAAUGAAUCCUUUGUUUACUAGGUUUACAAAAGAUUAGUGGGAGUUAAUCAUGUUCCUAAAAUUGAAUAUAUACAAAUAUAUGAUAUAUUAAUUUUGGAAAUGAAAAAGAAUACUUCUUCGUUAAAGUUAUGACUUUAAACAUUCUACAACGAUAGAAUGUUUAUGGGAGACAUAGUCUAUGAACAUGGGAUGUAAAUCUAUAAUGAUAGAUUUUAGGAUAUAAUUGGAUUAUAUCAAGCUCUAAUGAUAGACAAAAGAUGCUAGGGAGUUUCUCAUAUGAUGAUAAACUUCAAUCAGAAGAACAACUCUAGUAAGACUAGGAGGUAGCUUUUCUCAAAAGGAACAUACCCUUUGACUCCCAAAGAACUAAUGCGUAAAUAGAAUCCUUUAUGCAUACGCAGAAAAGUGAUUUACGUAUUUCAUAUUGUAUGUAAACAUUGAUAUGAGAUGUACCUAGAACGAUACAACACGAUAUCAGUGCAAGCCCAAGAUCAUAACCAUGGGAAAUGUCAAGUGAGUCCUUAAGUAUUUAAGAAAUACUAAAGGAUAGAUUCCUCAAAGAAUGAGGAAGAAUUAGAAUAAACGUAAUGGAAGCGUAAAUGUAU